AGUGGGAUAACUGGGUCAAAUGGUGGUUUCCACUCUUAGUUUUUUGAAGAAUAUCCAUACUAUUUUCCAGAGUGAUCACACCAAUUUGCAGUCCCACCAGUGAU
RNAcentral lists this microRNA precursor (104 nucleotides) under Marmota monax (woodchuck). Lineage: Eukaryota; Metazoa; Chordata; Mammalia; Rodentia; Sciuridae. The record is from RNAcentral.